RNAcentral lists this small nuclear RNA (23 nucleotides) under Arabidopsis thaliana (thale cress). RNAcentral describes it as "snRNA_04355". The record is from RNAcentral. Lineage: Eukaryota; Viridiplantae; Streptophyta; Magnoliopsida; Brassicales; Brassicaceae.
AACUAUCCAGUCGAUUUCAUCAA